RNAcentral lists this ribosomal RNA (1534 nucleotides) under bacterium NTL337. Its description in RNAcentral is "bacterial SSU rRNA". It matches the Rfam family "Bacterial small subunit ribosomal RNA". The record is from RNAcentral.
AGAGUUUGAUCAUGGCUCAGAUUGAACGCUGGCGGCAGGCUUAACACAUGCAAGUCGAGCGGUAGCACAGGGGAGCUUGCUCCCUGGGUGACGAGCGGCGGACGGGUGAGUAAUGUCUGGGAAACUGCCUGAUGGAGGGGGAUAACUACUGGAAACGGUGGCUAAUACCGCAUAACGUCGCAAGACCAAAGAGGGGGACCUUCGGGCCUCUUGCCAUCAGAUGUGCCCAGAUGGGAUUAGCUAGUAGGUGGGGUAAUGGCUCACCUAGGCGACGAUCCCUAGCUGGUCUGAGAGGAUGACCAGCCACACUGGAACUGAGAUACGGUCCAGACUCCUACGGGAGGCAGCAGUGGGGAAUAUUGCACAAUGGGCGCAAGCCUGAUGCAGCCAUGCCGCGUGUGUGAAGAAGGCCUUCGGGUUGUAAAGCACUUUCAGCGAGGAGGAAGGUGGUGAGCUUAAUACGCUCAUCAAUUGACGUUACUCGCAGAAGAAGCACCGGCUAACUCCGUGCCAGCAGCCGCGGUAAUACGGAGGGUGCAAGCGUUAAUCGGAAUUACUGGGCGUAAAGCGCACGCAGGCGGUUUGUUAAGUCAGAUGUGAAAUCCCCGGGCUCAACCUGGGAACUGCAUUUGAAACUGGCAAGCUAGAGUCUCGUAGGGGGGGGUAGAAUUCCAGGUGUAGCGGUGAAAUGCGUAGAGAUCUGGAGGAAUACCGGUGGCGAAGGCGGCCCCCUGGACGAAGACUGACGCUCAGUGCGAAAGCGUGGGGAGCAAAACAGGAUUAGAUACCCUGGUAGUCCACGCUGUAAACGAUGUCGAUUUGGAGGUUGUGCCCUUGAGGCGUGGCUUCCGGAGCUAACGCGUUAAAUCGACCGCCUGGGGAGUACGGCCGCAAGGUUAAAACUCAAAUGAAUUGACGGGGGCCCGCACAAGCGGUGGAGCAUGUGGUUUAAUUCGAUGCAACGCGAAGAACCUUACCUACUCUUGACAUCCAGAGAACUUUCCAGAGAUGGAUUGGUGCCUUCGGGAACUCUGAGACAGGUGCUGCAUGGCUGUCGUCAGCUCGUGUUGUGAAAUGUUGGGUUAAGUCCCGCAACGAGCGCAACCCUUAUCCUUUGUUGCCAGCGGUUCGGCCGGGAACUCAAAGGAGACUGCCAGUGAUAAACUGGAGGAAGGUGGGGAUGACGUCAAGUCAUCAUGGCCCUUACGAGUAGGGCUACACACGUGCUACAAUGGCGUAUACAAAGAGAAGCGACCUCGCGAGAGCAAGCGGACCUCAUAAAGUACGUCGUAGUCCGGAUUGGAGUCUGCAACUCGACUCCAUGAAGUCGGAAUCGCUAGUAAUCGUAGAUCAGAAUGCUACGGUGAAUACGUUCCCGGGCCUUGUACACACCGCCCGUCACACCAUGGGAGUGGGUUGCAAAAGAAGUAGGUAGCUUAACCUUCGGGAGGGCGCUUACCACUUUGUGAUUCAUGACUGGGGUGAAGUCGUAACAAGGUAACCGUAGGGGAACCUGCGGUUGGAACACCUCCUU